AGCAAGCAAGCAAGGAACAUGAGAGGAGAGGUGCCUUCCGUCUCUCUGUCCUCGUCCUUUCAGGUUUAGGACCUGCUGGCAGGAUCCUGACGUCGCAGCUCGCGACAGAAAAACACAUACUGGAGGAAGAGAUCCUUUCAAAAGUAAACUGGAAAUGGUGCAUAAAAGUCAUCUCAAAGUCUCCUCUAGGGCCAGGAGCUUUCCCUGAUAAUUUGCUCAGCUGCUAAGGGAAGUGGACUCGACUUCAGCCGAGUGUUGUGUAAAUGCAUUCUGUUUAGAAAAGCAGAUCUGCAUUUAUCUCCUAAUUGGAUGUUGCUGUGAAAAUAUGAAGCCCUCGAAGAGGCAACAACUGUUUCCCUCCUCCCUUCCCAGUCCCUCUUUCAUAUUCUGAGCUGUUCUGGGUCCCCUUUCCUUUGGAGAAUACACAUUCUCCUUGGAUAAAUGAUGUCUCUGUGAACAGAGUACAAAAUAGAUGCAGUUAGAACCAGCUUUGCCUGGACACCUGAAAGCUAGAUUUAAGAACUGCUCAUGUCUGUAGACACCUGAACCAAAAGCAGAACGGUGAAAAGGAAGAAACCUUCAUGAAGCAGAACAGCCAGAUCCUCAGAUGUUUCUAAACUGCCUGGAAGGAGCUCUCGGGAAUUCCACAGCCAUGGUGGGAAAGGUGCCCAAAAGGAUCCCCGAGGCCCCGAGGAGCAAGGGCUGUGUCUGGUGUCUUCUGCAUCCGAAAGUCUCUCCUUCCUCUUCUGCUCUGCUUCCACCUUUACUGGGCAGCUGCAGUGGACGUGGUGAAAGCCAAGGACCAUGCUCACAGCCUUUCUUGGACCAACAUGGAUUUUCAGGAUGUCUCCUGCUCUGCUCCAGAAUUUGUGGUCCCGUGAAGAAAACAGCAACUAAUACAUGGGUAAAAAAAGGAAAUGAAGGAACACAUAUGCGAUAGAAAUGGUUCAUGAGAAGUCUCGCUUUCCUCUCUCUCCUGAAGAAGCUGGGGAAGGAAGAGCAAGCAGAGAAGUGGUUGUUAACUCUCCUGUUUGGGAGGCGCUGCAGGAGCAAGGAGAGUGUGGUGUGCGGUGUGUGGUGGAGAGACACAGGAUGGUAGAGAUGAGGAAGGGUCACAAGAUGGCGGAGGUGAGUGAGGAGACGGAAGAGCUGUCUGCGUUAUAGGGUGGGGGAGGUGUGAGUGGUGAGUGAUCUGCCGGAUUGAAGGUGGAUCGAAGGUGGGAGUCGGGAGGGGUGGGGGAUGGAGUCUGGGCUAGAAGUACCUGAGAGGACCAAAGAGGUUUGACAGAGGGAAGGUAGGAGAAAGAAGUCUUGUAGUUAGGGGAUUUCUACCAAUUUGCCAUUACGUUUACUAUUGCGUAAAUCGUGCAGUGUGUUAAAAUUGAAAGUGCCAUUUUCAGGCCAUUGAGAUUUAUUACCUAAUUUGUACUGAGGUCAAACUUGGUUGCAAUAAAAAUGAGUGAUUUUAGCUUAAAGUCGGGUCCCAACAAGGAGAUGAUGUUGUGCCAGGAGGCAACCAAGAGGUGUUAGGAGAGGGGGUUUGGAUUGUUGGGCAGGCGUGUUAGGGUGGGGGAGGAGGAGUUUGCUCCUUAGGAAGAGGGCAAAAGAGAGGAAUGUCCUUGUCUCUUUUGAUACUCCCGAGCCAGUCCCUGGAAGGGGAGAACGAGACAGAGGACCCGAGUAGAGGGAAGCUAACUACCUACUCACCCUGAAAUCAGAGACCAGUGUGGGCCUGAGUCAUCAGCAAUGAAAAAGUAGAAAACCCUAAGGAGGUCCUGGCUUGGCAGAUGUGGCUGGGAGGAGGCAGCUGAAUGGUCAGUCAACUCCAGCCUCCUGGGGAUCAUUGAUUAAUGGACCGCCUUUCUCCCGGGUCUCAGUACCAGAUAUGUUAGGUAAAAAGAGCCAAAACCAAGACUAGACCAGGAC
Long non-coding RNA from Fukomys damarensis (Damara mole-rat), 1926 nucleotides. The record is from Ensembl. Lineage: Eukaryota; Metazoa; Chordata; Mammalia; Rodentia; Bathyergidae.